GAGUUCCUUCCCGGACUCGUAAUUGAACCUCGUUUACAUUUUUUUCUGACAUUUCCAGAUAUUGUGCGCCACUUCGGAGGUAGCAGCACCAGACACAUCUCCUUUUUGUUGAUUUAUUAUGUUUUUUUGUUUUUGUUUUUGGAAAGGAGCAGACUAAGGAGGCAAAAAAAAAAAAAAAAAAAAAAAAAAGGCCAAGAGGCAUGGAAUAGAAAAUACAGAUGCAAGCUGUUUUGCUAAUUUUUAAGUAACCACAACACGGUAGGACAAAGAAUGCCCUGCACAAAGCAGGGCAAUAAAGGUUCACGAAACAGAGAUCGAAGUGUUCUCUUAGGCAAGCUUCAAGAUCUCAGCCUCUGUGUGGUUUCUGAAUCCUGAAUGGACCCUGAGUAAUAUAUAACCUUCAGAGUUACGCCUCUAUCAACCCCAGUUGUACUCCAUGGAAACUGAUUUCUGUGACCUGCAAAAAAAUAGGAGCCAUCCACCUAAUGUCAAAACCUGAGUUUCUCAGAAAAGG
Prionailurus viverrinus (fishing cat) is the source of this 514-nucleotide long non-coding RNA. RefSeq lists it as uncharacterized. The record is from RefSeq and is a predicted model, not a curated record. The transcript is spliced from 3 exons. Lineage: Eukaryota; Metazoa; Chordata; Mammalia; Carnivora; Felidae.